Molecule: ribosomal RNA, 514 nt
Filed under: uncultured bacterium
Lineage: Bacteria
Description: bacterial SSU rRNA
Rfam family: Bacterial small subunit ribosomal RNA
Source: RNAcentral
CCUACGGGAGGCAGCAGUGGGGAAUUUUGGACAAUGGGCGAAAGCCUGAUCCAGCAAUGCCGCGUGUGUGAAGAAGGCCUUCGGGUUGUAAAGCACUUUUGUCCGGAAAGAAAUCCUUGACUCUAAUACAGUCGGGGGAUGACGGUACCGGAAGAAUAAGCACCGGCUAACUACGUGCCAGCAGCCGCGGUAAUACGUAGGGUGCGAGCGUUAAUCGGAAUUACUGGGCGUAAAGCGUGCGCAGGCGGUUUGCUAAGACCGAUGUGAAAUCCCCGGGCUCAACCUGGGAACUGCAUUGGUGACUGGCAGGCUAGAGUAUGGCAGAGGGGGGUAGAAUUCCACGUGUAGCAGUGAAAUGCGUAGAGAUGUGGAGGAAUACCGAUGGCGAAGGCAGCCCCCUGGGCCAAGUACUGACGCUCAUGCACGAAAGCGUGGGGAGCAAACAGGAUUAGAUACCCUGGUAGUCCACGCCCUAAACGAUGUCACUAGUGUGGGAUUNUNUUCUUAGUACUAG